CUGAGUGAGGGCCCCUCGGGGUCCAACCUCCCACCCGUGUUUAACGAACCUUGUUGCUUCGGCGGGCCCGCCUCACGGCCGCCGGGGGGCAUCUGCCCCCGGGCCCGCGCCCGCCGAAGCCACCUGUGAACGCUGUCUGAAGUUUGCAGUCUGAGAAACUAGCUAAAUUAGUUA
RNAcentral lists this unclassified non-coding RNA (174 nucleotides) under uncultured fungus. Its description in RNAcentral is "sequence contains ITS1, 5.8S rRNA gene". The record is from RNAcentral. Lineage: Eukaryota; Fungi.